UACGUAGGGGGCAAGCGUUGUCCGGAAUCAUUGGGCGUAAAGAGCGUGUAGGCGGUCCGGUAAGUCCGCUGUGAAAGUCAAGGGCUCAACCCUUGAAUGCCGGUGGAUACUGCUGGACUAGAGUCCGGAAGAGGCGAGUGGAAUUCCUGGUGUAGCGGUGAAAUGCGCAGAUAUCAGGAGGAACACCGAUGGCGAAGGCAGCUCGCUGGGACGGUACUGACGCUGAGACGCGAAAGCGUGGGGAGCAAACAGG
RNAcentral lists this ribosomal RNA (253 nucleotides) under uncultured bacterium. RNAcentral's name for it is "partial 16S ribosomal RNA". It matches the Rfam family "Bacterial small subunit ribosomal RNA", at positions 524 to 776 of the family's 1533-position model. The record is from RNAcentral.